Molecule: non-coding RNA, 27 nt
Filed under: Bombyx mori (domestic silkworm)
Lineage: Eukaryota; Metazoa; Arthropoda; Insecta; Lepidoptera; Bombycidae
Source: RNAcentral
UUCCAAGUUAAGACGGGAAGGAGCUAC